UGUAAUUUGCUCAUACACUAAACCAACACCAAUCUGUAGCAGUUAGCCAGCGAGCUCGCACAAUGAGUUCCAAAAACGACAAUUCCUUUGAGAAGACUAAUGGUCCGGCUAAGGCUAGAGGUACAGUAAAACCUAAACCUCCUGGUUAUGCCGAUAAGGCCAAACGUUCUGGUACAGACAAACCUAAAUCUCCACCUCCACCUCCACCGACUUCGAAUUAAUGAUUUCAUAUCAUAUUUGUUACAUGGCAUAACAACAGAUUCAUCUAUGCAUCAUUAAGUUGGAAUUAUUGAAGAAGGCGCAUGAAAGGAAGCAAGUACGUGUUACUAUAGGGAUCGAGGGUGCUUCGUUUAGUUUUUGGGCCUUGUCUGGUUCCUUCCUUUUAGUUGUUUCUUUUUUUGGGGUUAUGGUUAGGCAUAACUUAUGCUGCAACCAUAUAUGUAGCUUGAUCUAUUCUAUUUUCUGUAUAAGAAAAGAAGGUUUUUAAGUCCACGUAUCAUAUCCAUUCUCAUGUUUUUCAUUUCCCACUCACCUUUCUCUCGCUGUAACCCAACUUUUCAUCAUAUAUCCUUAUGCUUUUUUUCUGAAUAUUAUAUGUAUACUUUAUGCGGUUUUAGAACUUGGUUUAGCCGGUAAGAUCUACUUCUGUGCUU
Cajanus cajan (pigeon pea) is the source of this 653-nucleotide long non-coding RNA. RefSeq lists it as uncharacterized. NCBI's taxonomy places the organism in Eukaryota, Viridiplantae, Streptophyta, Magnoliopsida, Fabales, Fabaceae. The record is from RefSeq and is a predicted model, not a curated record.